UCGGCGGCGGCGAGCAGGCUGAGCCGCGUCCUCGCGCCGCAGGCGCUGCCUGCGCCCGGCUUGGCCGCACCGCUCUCCUCGCCGCCGGCCCACUCCUCGUCCUGCAGCGGCGGCCGUCCGUCCAGCGAGAUGUUGACUGAGGAUGCAGCCCCUGAUUUAAAUGCAUACCCGAGGGUGCGUAAGAACCCAGGAGCGAACAUCAAACGUGUGGCCAGACUAAUUGACACAUCUCCAUUUGAUGGUGCUGUCACUUUUCAUCUCUUUCUUAGCAAAGGCCAACAUAAAUUUUUACUUCGACCCAGAAACGUGCUCCGUUUUCCAUGAAGAACAAGGAAGAAGAGAAUGAUGUCUCCUUCAUCUCAACCUAUAAGGCUCGCUUUAAAUGAUACUUUCUCCACAGACCCUCCCUGACUUACACUGUGUGAACAGAGUUUUUCCCCAUCUCACAAGACGCUGCCCCCGUUCCUCCUUUUCCUGGAUUGGAGUCAGGACACCGGGGUCUCAUCCAUGUUCUGCAAUGAAUUUCCCUGUUUAAAGGUAGCAGCCCCGUGCUCAUGGCUCCUCUGACUGCAGGGUGAUGGCUGGUGAAUACAGACAGAACGCAAGCACCUGGAUUCGCUAUCAAAUAAUUGGGUGUUAUCUGGUCAGGUUGCUUAUAUUGGGGGAAGCCAGCUGCUAUGUCAUGCGGCAGCCCCGUGGAGAAGCCACCAUGAGUGAGCUUGAAAGUAGAUCUUCUGGGGUCCACCAAAAGCCAUGUGAACAAGCUUGGCAGUACAGCCACCUCCAGUUGAACCUCAAGGUGACUGCAGCCUUUGUCAACAUCUUGACUGUAGCCUGGUGAGAAAUCCUGAGCCAGAACCAUCCAGAUUCUUUUCCCUUAUAGGCCAUUACAGAGUACUGAGUUCCUGAGUUCAGGAAGACGUCACAGAUAAGACGAUGAAAGUGGACCUUGAUGGUAGGGGAGGAAGGUGGUGUUGGUGACGGUGUGGUGGUGGAUGGCUGGAGGAUAUUUCUCGGGUUGAAAGGAGGAGGAAGAGCUUCGCAGCCCAUGAAGUGGCAUGAAGAAAGCAUAAGGCUAGCCUGUUGGAGGAUGUGAGAGACAUGGGGAGGAGAGCAGAGUCAUCCUGGAUGAGGCCAUCCUACUAGCCAGCCCCCAGCCAUCCUGCCAGCUGACCACAAGUGUGUGAACAAGCCCAGUUUCCCAGAGGAUGGACUAAGAACUGUCACUACAUUCUACACACACCCGCCUGAAGCCGGCACGGGGCCGCCUCCCAGGGGCUCCAGCGUGGACGUGACAGAACUCCGCCAAACUCCUCCCCGAUCCUACACGGCCUCACAGAGAGCGUUGAUGGGAGCUGUUCUGAUUCCAGCGGUGACCAAGCUGUACAUACCCUUUAAGUGACACAACCAUUAUUUACAAAUGAGGGUGUGUCUGCUUUAAGACAUUUCUGUAAUUUUCAGAAAUAAUCAUAACCACAACCUUGGGCAACACAAAGGAGAAAAGCUGAAAGAAGAUGCAAUAUACACUAACAAAGCAGGCUUUACAAACUCUCAUGUGUUUGGCACCAUUUAAUCUUCAAGAAGAGAAUUGGUGACACUGAGUUAAUUAAAUGAGGAAGGGAGGAAAGUAAGAAAGACCUCAUAUAUUGCAAAAUAUCUAAGCAUUCAUAAUAACUGCAAUAAAAAAAUAAAAUUGACAACAUCUAAAUAAUAUCCAUGGAACUCUUUACCAACUUCGAGAAAAGAACAUCCCCCGGCCCCGCCCCCGACACUGAUAAAUAGUAAGUCAAAGGAUCGCUUAUCAUCUUGUCCAUUCAUUCAUUCAUUUAUUCAUAUAUUCAUUUAACAAAUAUUUAUUCAGAGCCUAAUGUGUGUCAGACGCCAGGGUAGAGUGUUGAAAAUACAAAAUGUUCACACUCUAACAGGAGAGAUGAUCUAAUAAAGAUAAUCAUGGAAUCUACUGGUGAGUGAUGUAACUUAAUAACACUAUUUCCCAUUUGGAGAUAACUUUAUAGUUUACAGGAUUCUUUCACAUCUUUUUGUAUCUUUCUGCUUCAUUACACUUAAGGCAUGUCUCUCAUAAACAGAAUAUGGUUGGGCAUAUUCUUCAAUACAAUCUGAGAUUGUCUUUUAACUGAAGAAUUUGUUUACUGAUACUAUAACUUAUUUCUAACAUCUUAUUUUGUGUUUUCUAUGACCACAUUUCCUGUA
Globicephala melas (long-finned pilot whale) is the source of this 2211-nucleotide non-coding RNA. Lineage: Eukaryota; Metazoa; Chordata; Mammalia; Artiodactyla; Delphinidae. The record is from RefSeq and is a predicted model, not a curated record.